AACGCACAUUGCGCCCAUUAGUAUUCUAGUGGGCAUGCCUGUUCGAGCGUCAUUUCGACUAUUAAGCCCUGCUUAGCAUUGGGAGUCCGCGCUUACCCGGUAGCGGUUCCUUAAAAUCUUCGGCGGAUCUGUGGAGUCCUCUGAGCGUAGUAGAUUAUUUCUCGCUUCUGUAGGCCCCGCGGCCCCUGCCGUAAAACCCCCCAAUUCAAGUGGUUGACCUCGGAUCAGGUAGGAAUACCCGCUGAACUUAA
This 251-nucleotide unclassified non-coding RNA is filed under the name uncultured fungus. RNAcentral describes it as "partial contains 5.8S ribosomal RNA, internal transcribed spacer 2, and large subunit ribosomal RNA". Lineage: Eukaryota; Fungi. The record is from RNAcentral.